This 71-nucleotide transfer RNA is filed under the name Ictidomys tridecemlineatus (thirteen-lined ground squirrel). RNAcentral describes it as "Spermophilus tridecemlineatus (thirteen-lined ground squirrel) tRNA". It matches the Rfam family "tRNA". Rfam says of the family: Transfer RNA (tRNA) molecules are approximately 80 nucleotides in length. The record is from Rfam by way of RNAcentral. Lineage: Eukaryota; Metazoa; Chordata; Mammalia; Rodentia; Sciuridae.
UGGGGUGUAGUUCAAUGGCAGAGCACUUGCCUAGCAUUCAUGAGGCCUAGGUUCAAUCCCCAGCACCCAAA